Molecule: small nucleolar RNA, 199 nt
Filed under: Penaeus japonicus
Lineage: Eukaryota; Metazoa; Arthropoda; Malacostraca; Decapoda; Penaeidae
Description: small nucleolar RNA U3
Rfam family: Small nucleolar RNA U3
About the family: Small nucleolar RNAs (snoRNAs) are involved in the processing and modification of rRNA in the nucleolus.
Source: RNAcentral
AUGAUCAUACUAUAAGAUCAAUUCUAUAUGAUUACUUUCAGUCUAAAUAUCUAGAAACUCGGAUCAAAUUCAACCACCAUGAAGAUUUUCAGUGUCAUCCUCUGAGCGGAAGCUGCUCUUAAGUUCAUUUUAAAACGUGACUGACCGUUCAGCUUCGGCCUGUCCAUGUUCCAGAGAGGAUGACACAGGCUGAAAUGGU